CCUGAUGUUAUCUUUCUAUCCUCUCUCCAUAGCUCUGGGCUUGAUGGCUCUUGAGUGGGCUUUGAGUCUUCCUCCGACAGACAAGCCCCAGCGAUCUUCCUUAGACCCUGCCUCUUCUCCCAAGGAACUAGAUGCUCUCUGGGAAACACGGAAGGGGGAAAGAAGCGAAUUAGAGGGAGUUGUGCAUGCCACAGCUUUACCUCCAAGUUGA
This 211-nucleotide long non-coding RNA is filed under the name Monodelphis domestica (gray short-tailed opossum). Its description in RNAcentral is "lncRNA (ENSMODG00000039993.1)". Lineage: Eukaryota; Metazoa; Chordata; Mammalia; Didelphimorphia; Didelphidae. The record is from RNAcentral.